RNAcentral lists this ribosomal RNA (253 nucleotides) under uncultured bacterium. Its description in RNAcentral is "partial 16S ribosomal RNA". It matches the Rfam family "Bacterial small subunit ribosomal RNA", at positions 524 to 776 of the family's 1533-position model. The record is from RNAcentral.
UACGGAGGAUGCGAGCGUUAUCCGGAUUUAUUGGGUUUAAAGGGUGCGUAGGCGGCGCUUCAGGUCAGCGGUGAAAUACCGGGGCUCAACCCCGGGGCUGCCGUUGAAACCGGAGCGCUAGAAUUCCGAUGCCGUCGGAGGAAUGUGUGGUGUAGCGGUGAAAUGCAUAGAUAUCACGAAGAACCCCGAUUGCGAAGGCAGCCUGCCGCAGCGUUACUGACGCUGAAGCUCGAAAGCGCGGGUAUCGAACAGG